AUUGAACGCUGGCGGCAGGCCUAACACAUGCAAGUCGAGCGGAGGAAGGGAGCUUGCUCCUGGAUUCAGCGGCGGACGGGUGAGUAAUGCCUAGGAAUCUGCCUGGUAGUGGGGGAUAACGUCCGGAAACGGGCGCUAAUACCGCAUACGUCCUGAGGGAGAAAGUGGGGGAUCUUCGGACCUCACGCUAUCAGAUGAGCCUAGGUCGGAUUAGCUAGUUGGUGGGGUAAAGGCCUACCAAGGCGACGGUCCGUAACUGGUCUGAGAGGAUGAUCAGUCACACUGGAACUGAGACACGGUCCCGACUCCUACGGGAGGCAGCAGUGGGGAAUAUUGGACAAUGGGCGAAAGCCUGAUCCAGCCAUGCCGCGUGUGUGAAGAAGGUCUUCGGAUUGUAAAGCACUUUAAGUUGGGAGGAAGGGCAGUAAGUUAAUACCUUGCUGUUUUGACGUUACCAACAGAAUAAGCACCGGCUAACUUCGUG
RNAcentral lists this ribosomal RNA (484 nucleotides) under uncultured bacterium. Its description in RNAcentral is "partial 16S ribosomal RNA". It matches the Rfam family "Bacterial small subunit ribosomal RNA", at positions 30 to 507 of the family's 1533-position model. The record is from RNAcentral.